GCCCUCUUAGUUUAGUGGUAAAACAGUGGUAUCGUAAACCAUAAAUGUCAGUUCGAUUCUGGCAGAGGGCU
Molecule: transfer RNA, 71 nt
Filed under: Candidatus Magasanikiibacteriota bacterium
Lineage: Bacteria; Candidatus Magasanikiibacteriota
Also listed under: 1 other name
Description: tRNA-Thr
Rfam family: tRNA
About the family: Transfer RNA (tRNA) molecules are approximately 80 nucleotides in length. Their secondary structure includes four short double-helical elements and three loops (D, anti-codon, and T loops).
Source: RNAcentral